Molecule: long non-coding RNA, 267 nt
Organism: Lingula anatina
Lineage: Eukaryota; Metazoa; Brachiopoda; Lingulata; Lingulida; Lingulidae
Source: RefSeq, a predicted model, not a curated record
GGUCAUGUCUGCUACUACUCUGCAACAGCUGAAAGAUAUGUCACCUAUUAUAAAACGUAUAAGUGCGGACUUUUUGGAUGGUCAAGGUGUAAAAGUAGUGGGUCCCAUAGUGUCCCGUACACGUAUCGCCGGAGCCGUUGCUGUCGAGGUUGGACAAGUAGAAAUGCAGCCUGUGUGGUCCCUAUUUGCAGUCCCAGUUGUCGAAAUGGUGGAACAUGCAUAAGACCAAACGUGUGUAUUUGCCCAGUCACACAUUAUGGUUCUUAC